RNAcentral lists this ribosomal RNA (273 nucleotides) under uncultured Pneumocystis. Its description in RNAcentral is "partial large subunit ribosomal RNA". It matches the Rfam family "Bacterial large subunit ribosomal RNA", at positions 865 to 1121 of the family's 2925-position model. The record is from RNAcentral. Lineage: Eukaryota; Fungi; Ascomycota; Pneumocystomycetes; Pneumocystales; Pneumocystaceae.
AUUUGUUUUAGCAAUUGUUUAUUUGUAUUAUUAAAGGGUAUAGCACUGAAUAUCUAAGUUUUCUGUAGAGGGAAUACUAAGGUAUUUAUCUCAGAUAUUUAAUCUCAGAAUAAUUAAUAAUGAAGGUAAAUAAUCGGACUUUUUGCGAUAAGGUGGAAAGUCAAAAGGGAAACAGCCCAGAAUAGUAUAUAAAGCUCCCCAAUUAUUAUUAAGUGAAAUAAAAGAAGUGGUUAUUUUUUGACAGUCAGGAAGUGGGCUUGGAAACAGCCAUCA